Molecule: ribosomal RNA, 1363 nt
Filed under: uncultured bacterium
Lineage: Bacteria
Description: bacterial SSU rRNA
Rfam family: Bacterial small subunit ribosomal RNA
Source: RNAcentral
AGAGUUUGAUCAUGGCUCAGGAUGAACGCUGGCGGCGUGCCUAAUGCAUGCAAGUCAUACGGGGGAGCAGCCUUCGGGCUGCAAUCUAGUGGCGAAAGGGUGCGUAACGCGUAAGCGACCUACCCUCAAGUGGGGAAUAACCCUGAGAAAUUGGGGCUAAUACCGCAUGUGGUGGUGGCCAAAGGCCACCAUUAAAGCCGAAAGGCGCUUGGGGAAGGGCUUGCGUCCUAUCAGGUAGUUGGUGAGGUAAUGGCCCACCAAGCCGAAGACGGGUAGCUGGUCUGAGAGGACGGCCAGCCACACGGGGACUGAGACACGGCCCCGACUCCUACGGGAGGCAGCAGCAAGGAAUCUUGCGCAAUGGGCGAAAGCCUGACGCAGCGACGUCGCGUGGGGGAAGAAGGCCUUCGGGUUGUAAACCCCUUUUCUCGGGGACGAAGCUCUGACGGUACCCGAGGAAUAAGCCUCGGCUAACUACGUGCCAGCAGCCGCGGUAAUACGUAUGAGGCGAGCGUUAUCCGGAUUUACUGGGCGUAAAGAGGGCGCGGGCGGCCCUCUAAGUCAGGUGUGAAAUCCCCUGGCUCAACCGGGGGAGGUCAUUUGAUACUGGAGGGCUUGAGGACAGCAGAGGGAGGUGGAAUUCCCGGUGUAGCGGUGAUAUGCGUAGAUAUCGGGAGGAACACCAGUGGCGAAGGCGGCCUCCUGGGCUGUUUCUGACGCUGAGGCCCGAAAGCGUGGGGAGCAAACCGGAUUAGAUACCCGGGUAGUCCACGCCCUAAACGUUGGGCACUAGGUCUGGGGGGUAUCGACCCUCUCCGGGCCGAAGCUAACGCUUUAAGUGCCCCGCCUGGGGACUACGGCCGCAAGGCUAAAACUCAAAGGAAUUGACGGGGGCCCGCACAAGCAGCGGAGCGUGUGGUUUAAUUCGAUGCUACGCGAAGAACCUUACCAGGGCUUGACAUGUCGGAAGUAGGAACCCGAAAGGGCAACCACCCGUAAAGCCCGGGAGCCGACACAGGUGCUGCAUGGCUGUCGUCAGCUCGUGCCGUGAGGUGUUGGGUUAAGUCCCGCAACGAGCGCAACCCUCGUUGUCAGUUGCCCUCUCUGACGAGACUGCCCCGCAAAACGGGGAGGAAGGUGGGGAUGACGUCAAGUCAGCACGGCCCUUACGCCCUGGGCUACACACACGCUACAAUGGGCGGUACAGCGGGUUGCCAAACCGCAAGGUGGAGCUAAUCCCUAAAAGCCGUCCUCAGUUCGGAUUGCAGGCUGAAACCCGCCUGCAUGAAGUCGGAGUUGCUAGUAACCGCGGGUCAGCACACCGCGGUGAAUACGUUCUCGGGCCUUGUAGACACCGCCCGUA